ACAAAUCCAAUAAUUGUGGAAGGACUCUGUCCUUUCUGCAAAUAUUAAUCCGCCGGUUGCUCUAUGUAGCAGCUGGCCGUGAUAUAAAUGCGUGUUAUGUCGACAGUGUGUGUGUAAAUUAAUAUUGA
This 128-nucleotide unclassified non-coding RNA is filed under the name uncultured Rozellomycota. Its description in RNAcentral is "uncultured Cryptomycota sequence contains ITS1". The record is from RNAcentral. Lineage: Eukaryota; Fungi; Rozellomycota.